Molecule: small nuclear RNA, 102 nt
Organism: Octodon degus (degu)
Lineage: Eukaryota; Metazoa; Chordata; Mammalia; Rodentia; Octodontidae
Source: RefSeq, a predicted model, not a curated record
GUGCUCGCUUCGGCAGCACAUAUACUAAAAUUGGAACGAUACAGAGAAGAUUAACAUGGCCCUUGCGCAAGGAUCCUCCUGUUUCUAGUCUCGCAAAUUCUG